UGCCAGCAGCCGCGGUAAUACGGAGGGGGUUAGCGUUGUUCGGAAUUAUUGGGCGUAAAGCGCGUGUAGGCGGUUCGUUAAGUCUGAUGUGAAAGCCCUGGGCUCAACCUGGGAACUGCAUGGGAUACUGGCAUUCUAGAAUACAGUAGAGGGAGGUGGAAUUUCAGGUGUAGCGGUGAAAUGCGUAGAUAUUCGGAGGAACACCAGUGGCGAAGGCGGCUCACUGGCUCGAUACUGACGCUGAGGUGCGAAAGCGUGGGGAGCAAACAGGAUUAGAUA
This 279-nucleotide ribosomal RNA is filed under the name uncultured bacterium. RNAcentral's name for it is "partial 16S ribosomal RNA". It matches the Rfam family "Bacterial small subunit ribosomal RNA", at positions 506 to 784 of the family's 1533-position model. The record is from RNAcentral.